This 249-nucleotide ribosomal RNA is filed under the name uncultured prokaryote. RNAcentral's name for it is "partial 16S ribosomal RNA". It matches the Rfam family "Bacterial small subunit ribosomal RNA", at positions 524 to 772 of the family's 1533-position model. The record is from RNAcentral.
UACGGAGGAUGCGAGCGUUAUCCGGAUUUAUUGGGUUUAAAGGGUGCGUAGGCGGCCGAGUAAGUCAGCGGUGAAAUUUUGCAGCUUAACUGUAACAGUGCCGUUGAUACUGCAUGGCUAGGAUUUGGUUGCUGUGGGUGGAAUGUGUGGUGUAGCGGUGAAAUGCUUAGAUGUCACACAGAAUAUCAAUUGCGAAGGCAGCUCACAAAGCCAAGAUUGACGCUGAGGCACGAAAGUGUGGGGAUCAAA